Lycium ferocissimum is the source of this 723-nucleotide long non-coding RNA. RefSeq lists it as uncharacterized. The record is from RefSeq and is a predicted model, not a curated record. The transcript is spliced from 2 exons. NCBI's taxonomy places the organism in Eukaryota, Viridiplantae, Streptophyta, Magnoliopsida, Solanales, Solanaceae.
AAGGGCCAAAUAUACCCCUGUACUGUGAGAAAAUGUUUAAAUAUACCCUUCGUUAUACUUUGAGUUCAAAUAUACCCUACCGUUAUACUAUUAAUUCAAAUAUACCCCUCUUCCGAUAAGUUUGUCCAAGGUGGACAUCCAAUCCUACGUGGUAAUGACAUUUGAUGAGGUGGCUGCCACGUGGCAUGCCACCUCAGCACCCUUUACCCAUUUUACCCUCUUAUCUAUUUGCUUUUCCACCACUAACCACCAUUAUGACUGUUACCGCCACCAUGAAAAAUAUUGUAAUUCAAAGCUUAGUCUUUUAUAUAUAUUUGUUUCUCCACUCAUCUCUCGCAUUGGGUUCAAUACAAUCUGAAGCUUCUCGAAUUUCAGGUGAAGUGCUCAAAGCAUUUGCAGAUUGCCCAACCACAGAUCCUCACGUUAGCACUGCCACGGGACACCGGUCCUGUCCCCAGCAUUAAGUCUCAUAUUGUUCAGAUACUCCGAUUUGGUGUGAGUUGACUGGCUGGAAAAUCAAUAUUGUCCAUGGUGGUGGUAAUGGUGGUGAUGGUGGAGGGAAAUGGAAUUUUUAGUGGUGGAAAAACAAAUAGAGGGGAGGGUAAAAUGGGUAAAGGGUGUUGAGGUGGUAUGGCACGUGGCAUCCACCUCAUCAAAUGUCAUUGCCACGUAGGAUUAGAUGUCCACCUUGGACAAACUUAACGGAAGAGGGGUAUAUUUGAA